This 2664-nucleotide long non-coding RNA is filed under the name Heterocephalus glaber (naked mole-rat). RNAcentral's name for it is "lncRNA (ENSHGLG00100050039.1)". The record is from RNAcentral. Lineage: Eukaryota; Metazoa; Chordata; Mammalia; Rodentia; Bathyergidae.
UUGAAGCUGAUUCGUGCUUUAUUUAAAGCAGACAGUAGGCAGCAAACAAGGAAGAGUUUGCAAACUACAUCUCGAAGGACGUUUUGUUUGUGUGUUGUCGUUUCUUGUGUUCCAUCUGGGAGGCUCUGUUGAUGUGUAUGGCUACCUGUAAGAGAGCACUGAUGAAGAAUGGAGAAGAUGUAAAAUAGAGCUCGCCAAAGGUUUUAAAAAUAAAUCAAGAAAUGAGUGAAUGAAGGCAGAAGCGCCCAGAAAGAAGGUCAGGACCCCAGUGGAUGCCAGAAACUGCAGAUACUGUCGGAUCCUACUUAUUCCUGCUCCUGAAUGUGCACAAUCAUCCCUUACUUCAAGAACACUGUGAAAUUAAGUAUCCUUACCACAAGAGCCAGCGAACUCAAGGCCAGGACCAGAGUGAAGUAAAUGAUUCACCGUGGUGCAGACCAGAAAGAGGCUCUUUCUUCACAUCGUGCAGGCUCGGGAUUAGCCUUCUUUGGUGUCUCCUUCCCUUCUCCAUCGGGGGAGCUUCCUGUGCCUCACUCCAGCUCAGCCAUUGAAAGAACUAUCCAGAUAUUACAGAUACAUCUUUCUGAUUGAACACUGACUGAUAAAGAAGUGAUAUUUGAGGACAGUUCCUACAAAGAAUUCUCGUAUUAUAAUGAAUGUUACUUAGAUGUCAACAUCACCUGCAAGAGAACACACAUAUUAUUUUUCAGAGGUGCAAUGUUUGCAACUACAGAAACAGUGUCUAGGUAACAACUGAAAAUCCAUGUGCUCUUCCGUCCUUCUCUACCCAUGUCACGAGCAAAUCCUGAGCACGCUAUAAAAUUUAGAGGAAAGCAUGGACGUGAGGACUGAGAAAUGGAAACAAUGAGGAGCUCUGAGGAGUCCAGUGUCUGCCUUGCCAACGUGGGUGUGUAAUAUUUGAAGUAUGGAGAUGAGGACAACACAACGUAGUAUACUUUGCUGCUAUGUUUUGUUUGUUUGUUUGCUUGCUUGGUUUUUUUCCAUUUAGUUUAUUGGUACAUUUUAGCUAUACAAUACGGUUACAUUCAUCAUUGGGAUCUUGUAUCUUUACGUGGUGCAUCUUGGUUCUUAUUUUUUUCCCCAUUCCCCUGACCUCCUUUCACCCCCGCUACCCUUCCCUAUUUACAAAGACUUUGUUUCCAUGUUUUUCCUUUUCUCGUAUUUUUUCCUUUCCCUUCUUUCCUUUCCCCUUCCCCUCCCACUUCCCCUAUUCCUUUAGAUAUUUUCUUCCUAUUUCACUUGUUUUAACUAUAGAAGUUGGUUUCAGUAACUUAGGCCUCCAGUGUUGAAAAAGAAUGGGAGCAUGACUGAGGCCAAACCAGUGUCAUAUUAAUGUGAUUGGACAGAAACUCGCAGGCUGCCCAGAUAUUCUCAGCAAUUCAUCUCUCCUUUCCUCCAAGUAUCUGCCUGGACAGGUUAGGAUCCUAGAGGCCCUCCUCAUCUCAGUGCUGUUGCUUUAUAAGAGCUUAAAGGGAAUUCAUGAUGAGAGGAGCUUCCUGUUGUAUUAGAAAUAAAUAGAAGUGCUUGGUAGUCUUCAUUUUUUUCUGGAAAUCCAUGUACAGAGUCUCUUUUUCCUCUUCUAACUUCUUGUGUUCAUCUAGAGGGACACCACCGAGGGCCUUCAUCCAUCCUGUUACAGAUUAUAGACUGGGAAGCAGAUUUCCAAGGCACAAAUUUAAUUUACAAUAACUAGACACUGGACACAAACAACUAUUAGCAAAAGGCACAAAGGAACAACAUACCCCAUCUGAUGUGGAAUCAUUGGAACACAGAAAAAUAAUUUGAAAUAAACACAGUAAAUGUACUGAAAGAUAAAGGAAGAUGCCUUAACUCUUUUCUAUGAAAAAAGGAUAUAAAGAAAUAUGAACAAAGAACAGGAAAUCACAAAAAGAACCAUAGAAAUACAGGAAUGAAAAAUGAUAGAAAUAAAGAGCACAAUAGUUAGAAUAAACAAUAGGACAUAUGGAGAUUAAAAGAAGAUGAGAUUGAUGAAUUUUGGCAGGAAGCUGGAGAGAAAGAUUAUGAGAUUGAAAAUAUAAGAAGAGCUUCAAUGGACAGAUAUAAAAAUACCAGUAUCUGAGUAAAAGAAAUCCCAGAAAGAGGAAGAAAAUAGAAAACUGCCAAAGAAAUAAUUAAGAUAAAUUUUCUAGAAUUAGAAAAAGUGCUGAAAUGGAUCAAAUUUGAAAAGAUUAGGACAAGGAAACAACACAAAUAAGGACAACAUCACAUCUAGAUAAAGUGAAAUUUAAGGACAAAAAAGGUGAAACUAAAACUUUCAAAGAGAGAUCACCUACCAAGAAACUACACUGACCUUGUGUUGUUUUUUUUUACAAUAGUGGAAUCUAAAGGCCAAAAGUGUACAGGUUCUAAAUUUGUGAGAAAAAAAAACCCUAAAGGUGUAUAUUUACCCAAAUCUUCAUUUAAAUAUGAGGACAUACACAAAAUAUUGUGAGCCAUACUGGCCCUGCUUUUCUGUUACCCAAGCCACACACUAGAAAUAUACUUGAAAGAUCUCACUGAGUAAAAUAAAAAUUCAGAAGGAUCCUGUAAGUGAUAUAAAAAUGAAAGAAAUCAAAUAACUUGAUCAAAUUUAUUUUCUUAAAACAAGCUUGAGUAUAUGGAAAUUAUAUUCAUAACUCAAAC